Molecule: transfer RNA, 71 nt
Filed under: Marmota monax (woodchuck)
Lineage: Eukaryota; Metazoa; Chordata; Mammalia; Rodentia; Sciuridae
Description: tRNA.Ala
Rfam family: tRNA
About the family: Transfer RNA (tRNA) molecules are approximately 80 nucleotides in length. Their secondary structure includes four short double-helical elements and three loops (D, anti-codon, and T loops).
Source: RNAcentral
GAGGUUGUGGCUCAGCAGUAGAGCGCUUGCCUGGCACGUGUGAGGCCCUGGGUUCGAUCCUCAGCACCACA